RNA transcript from Rosa rugosa (rugosa rose), 1690 nucleotides. It is a transcript of the gene named LYR motif-containing protein At3g19508, with no coding region annotated. The transcript is spliced from 7 exons. NCBI's taxonomy places the organism in Eukaryota, Viridiplantae, Streptophyta, Magnoliopsida, Rosales, Rosaceae. The record is from RefSeq and is a predicted model, not a curated record.
AACCUAAACCCGGAGAAGUUUCUACUUUCUAAAGCUUAGAAGAGAGAGAGAGAGAGAGAGAGAGAGAGAGAGAGAUGUUGAAAGCUCUGAGAAUCUACGCGGAGGUUCUGAGAUUGGUGCGGCGGUUGCCCAAGGACUCUCGGCCUUACUACGCCAAGUACGUUCGGGAGAAUUUCGUCAAUUACAGAGAGGUCGAGGUCUCCGAUGACCAAGCUCUCCACGACCUCUUCAAUAGGGCUUACAUUCAUUCCCUCUGGGUCCUCAACAAGUACUCUGUUGAUGAAUCCGCCGCCGAUAAGUUGAAGAAGAUCUGCAGCGGUUGAGGAGCUUCUUCUUCUUGUUUCUGGUUUCCACAUUCUUGCCGAAAUGAGAGAAGGAUCUUUCAAGAGUCUGGGAGCACUUCCUUUUCCCCUGCCGCCCUUUCUAAUAUCUCUCUAGUUCUUACCUUUGGGUUAUAACUUAUGCCUGUGUGCUUUUGGCUUUUGGCAGCAGAGUGUUUUUUCCUUUGCUGAUUUUGCCAUAUCUGAUGACAAGUAAAAUGAAAUUGUAAGGCAUGUUUCUUUGGACUAGUGAUCAGGACAAACAAAUAAACCACGUGUAAAUUAUGGCUGAUUUUGUCCCCAAAAUAUGGUGUUGGCAAGUGUACGGGUCCGUAACAUUUAGGAGAUUAUGGGGAAUCAAAGUCUUCUAUAUGCUAUACUUGCGUACUGCUUCAAUUCAGACAUCAUGCUUGUACAUGAGGUUCUGCAUAUCUGUGCAUUUUAUUCCUUAUCAUUUUAUCAGGAGAGAUUAAAGCUCCAAGGGUACAAAUUAAAAGAAUACUGACAAUUCUUGCCGAAAUGUCUAGGAGCCCCAAGCUAUCUGAGUUCCACGUAAAGCCUCAUCAGGCAAAGGACAAAAGACAUGGUGGCAUGCUGAGGUUGAUAGAAUUAAUCUUUUCUCCGACAGAAGAACAGAUUUGCCAGACAUCUUCUUCAUAAUGUGCUGAUUUAAGAAAAAAUAAAAUAAAUAUUAAUAAAUGAAGAUCAUAAAGGAAUUUUGAAAGCAGAAUUAUAUUAAGGACUACCUCGAAGGCUAGGAUUGUCAGCAAAGACAAUACUGUUGCUUCAUGGGAUGCAGAUUUCUAUGUUAAAUUGUUGAUGAUGCAGAUACAAAUUUAGGUAUAUUUGGAGCAGCUCUAGCUGGAGCAUCAGUCGAAUCCCUGCUAAUAGAUCACUGAAGUCUGGUCCAGACCAUACAGUGCUUUCUCGAAAGUAAGCUGUCCCCUCUUAAAAUUAUUUCUUCCAGCGAGACAUCAUUGGCAAUCUUCCCCUUGCCUUGCUCAUCAGGAGGACGGUAAGGAGGUCCAUUAUUGGAAGUUGGCAUGGAAGCAGGUAUUUUCAUCAUGCCACAGGGAGUCUCUAUGCUAGCUCAAAAGACUUGGCUUCUUACAUGUCAAUUAACCGGAUCAGAGCAAACCUAAACCUCAAGAAGAUACAGAUCAAGAGAAGCCAAUUGCAUGCUUAAGCAAAUUAAAGGGUGAGCAAGAAGGAUGCUUGAAGCUUAUAUUGAUUGUAAGGUCAAUCUUUUACAGCCUUAUACAAUACACAUAGAUUCUAGUUUCAUUUGUAACUUCAGCUUACUUUUUAUCUCACUUUAUCUUUGUGAGAAAUAUAAAACUGCAAUAAAAUGCUAGUGGCCACCUUAUGAA